UCCUAUGAUGGCAUGAAAUCUUUGAGACCUGAUUUUCUUACUUGAUGUCAGCUAUAAGCAUAACACUGAGGAU
Molecule: non-coding RNA, 73 nt
Organism: Cicer arietinum (chickpea)
Lineage: Eukaryota; Viridiplantae; Streptophyta; Magnoliopsida; Fabales; Fabaceae
Source: Rfam